Molecule: long non-coding RNA, 487 nt
Organism: Chinchilla lanigera (long-tailed chinchilla)
Lineage: Eukaryota; Metazoa; Chordata; Mammalia; Rodentia; Chinchillidae
Exons: 2
Source: RefSeq, a predicted model, not a curated record
UAUGGGGCGGCUGGGUGAAUGAAUGAUGGAUAUUGUUCAGGAGGUGACCUAAGCAGCCAGGAAUGUGGCAGCAGUGGGCUUUAAUGAGGCAUUCAUCAAUGACACCCUCCCCCAAUCCAAAGAGGUGAAACCCUCUCUACUCUGGGCCACACAGGACAGUCAAGUAGCGCUCCAGCGGCCGGACUGAUGAUCUGUUGUCUUCAGCAGAUUCCAGAGGAGAUGAAAUCGGGGACCACAUUGAGAGGAGAGAGAAUGAACUGGUCCUGACGACACAGCCACAGAUUAGAUGGGUGGAGCAACGGGGACACAGACAGCCCCUCCAGCACACCUCCUGGGGCUGCCACUGUUGGAGCAGGAGGACACGGGGGCUGCUUACCAGUACCCAACCCUGGUGGGCCCGGGGCAGAACAGGCGUGCUGUGUUUUUCUGCCCAUGACGACACAGCCUAAUUUGAAAGCAAUUACAGUGAAAUAUGGAAUGCUUCUUA